CCCGGGCGACCGGCGCACAGGUGAGUAACGCGUAUGCAACCUGGCCGCCACAGGGGGAUAACCCGCGGAAACGCGGCCUAAUACCCCGUGACGCCACCGGAGGGCAUCCUCCGGUGGCCAAAGGAGCGAUCCGGUGGCGGAUGGGCAUGCGGCGCAUUAGCUAGACGGCGGGGUGACGGCCCACCGUGGCGACGAUGCGUAGGGGUUCUGAGAGGAAGGCCCCCCACACUGGGACUGAGACACGGCCCAGACUCCUACGGAAGGCAGCAG
Molecule: ribosomal RNA, 270 nt
Filed under: uncultured bacterium
Lineage: Bacteria
Description: partial 16S ribosomal RNA
Rfam family: Bacterial small subunit ribosomal RNA
Source: RNAcentral